This is a small nuclear RNA of Oryctolagus cuniculus (rabbit), 63 nucleotides long. Its record names the gene U2. It matches the Rfam family "U2 spliceosomal RNA". Rfam says of the family: U2 is a small nuclear RNA (snRNA) component of the spliceosome (involved in pre-mRNA splicing). Complementary binding between U2 snRNA (in an area lying towards the 5' end but 3' to hairpin I) and the branchpoint sequence (BPS) of the intron results the bulging out of an unpaired adenosine, on the BPS, which initiates a nucleophilic attack at the intronic 5' splice site, thus starting the first of two transesterification reactions that mediate splicing. NCBI's taxonomy places the organism in Eukaryota, Metazoa, Chordata, Mammalia, Lagomorpha, Leporidae. The record is from Ensembl.
AUCGCUUCUCGGCCUUUUGGCUAAGAUCAAGUGUAGUACAUGGUAAUAUAAGUGGCACCCCAU